GAUGAACGCUAGCUACAGGCUUAACACAUGCAAGUCGAGGGGAAACGACAGUAAAGCUUGCUUUAUUGGGCGUCGACCGGCGCACGGGUGCGUAACGCGUAUCCAACCUGCCCCCAACUCCGGAAUAGUCCCCCGAAAGGGGGGUUAACGCCGGAUGCUGCAAUUUUUCCGCAUGGUGGAAUUGCGAAAUGAAAAAGGUUGGGGCUGGGGAUGCGUCCCAUUAGGUAGUAGGCGGGGUAACGGCCCACCUAGCCGACGAUGGGUAGGGGUUCUGAGAGGAAGGUCCCCCCACAUUGGAACUGAGACACGGUCCAAACUCCUACGGGAGGCAGCAGUGAGGAAUAUUGCACAAUGGGGGAAACCCUGAUGCAGCAACGCCGCGUGAGUGAUGACGGCCUCGGGUUGUAAAGCUCUGUCUUCAGGGACGAUAAUGACGGUACCUG
Molecule: ribosomal RNA, 443 nt
Filed under: uncultured bacterium
Lineage: Bacteria
Description: partial 16S ribosomal RNA
Rfam family: Bacterial small subunit ribosomal RNA
Source: RNAcentral